Molecule: long non-coding RNA, 260 nt
Filed under: Gossypium barbadense (sea-island cotton)
Lineage: Eukaryota; Viridiplantae; Streptophyta; Magnoliopsida; Malvales; Malvaceae
Description: long non-coding RNA (GBAR_LNC012430)
Source: RNAcentral
UUAAAUUAACCAUUCCGACAACAUAAAUAGUCAUAGAUAUGUUCAUCACAAAAACAACAAAAAUUAAAAAGAUAGGAAACAAGAAUCAAAUCCGAUGUUUUUCCGUGGCUUGACUAGGUUGCUUCGUUUUUCCUUCUUUGUUGUCCUUGCUGAUCAAGGCUGUUAUGAACACUCAAUUGCAGCUACAAAAUGGCUGAAGAAGAACCCUUUCUCAAGGGGAGAAAUUGGCAAAAGAGCAAGGAACUUUGAAUGGGAAAAAU